Molecule: non-coding RNA, 1939 nt
Organism: Paramuricea clavata
Lineage: Eukaryota; Metazoa; Cnidaria; Anthozoa; Malacalcyonacea; Plexauridae
Source: the annotation of a GenBank genome assembly
AAGUGAUUGAGUAUUUACCAAUGAUGAAGACAAUAUCGCAGUUAUCCCUGACUUAGUAUAAAAUGCUGAGAUGUACGUCAGACUGAGAAAUACUCUAGUUUGUAGUUGCUUGUAUGAUAAAGAAUAUUGCCAACAUUUAAUUAUUUUUUAUUUGUUUACUUGUUAGGAUGUCCAGUAUUUGGAAUAAACUCGUUCAAUGGUACGGGGAGAUUCAUAAUUUGGUCAUUUAAAAAAUUGUCAGAAUGAUGAUGUUUACCCAUAUAUUCGCAGUUUCCACCAAAGUGAUGCUUUGUCAUUUCGAUGAUGGUUAAUCUUCCUUGGAUGUCUGACUGACAAUAAUUUUACUGUGAAAUUACUGUAUGUCAAAACAUAUCUUCUCAUCACUUCAUACCAAUAACCAAUUCUUUGUUUCUUUACAGGAAUGAAACAUAAGUCUACUUCACUUGUGUGAUUUGUCCCUGGUACUGGCUGGAUGUUGUGCUUCAAAAACAUGAUAUCCUUGCUUAAAUGGGUAGGUGUCCGAACAAUGUCGCUCUUUGCAAAAACCCUUGAAGAUUGUUGUCAGAAUGAUGAUGUUUACCCAUAUAUUCGCAGUUUCCACCAAAGUGAUGCUCUGUCAUUUCGAUGAUGGUCAAUCUUCCUUGGAUGUCUGACUGACAACAAACGACCAUUUGAUAAUUUGCCAUUUAGUAAUUUUGACAAGUUGUUGGGUUUCACAUUUGCAAAAAUAUCUUAAUUUUGCAGGUCCUAUGAAGUGUCACAGUUGGUCUCUUUGAUAAAAGGUAAAGCAACAAAAGUCCAUGAAAACGGUUCUUAUUUUAAUAUUUAGUGAAGCAAAUGAUGACUUACUUUUUUCCCCAACUUAUCGACCAUGGUGAUAUUAUGCUGUCUUUAAGCCAGAACUUACUGAUGCUCCACUUCCAUAUUUACAUUUUCUUGUACAUCUGAAGUCUUGUCUUGUGUCAUUUAACUGAAUUGCUUGUUGUCUUUUUAUAGAUGGUUAGGCAAUGCUGUGCAAUUAGUAAAAGGUGAUUGACCUUGUGCUUCAUAAUUAUGUUCACUUUUAUUUUGCUUUAACACUUCAAGCGGCAAUGUGCCCUGAUGCAGCUGACUCGACUAUUCUAGUGCUGGUGCCCAAUGUGUUAAAACAUUGAAUUGGAUAUUGUACAUUGGUUAUUAAUAGUACCCUGGAACAAUUGAUGACUAAUUUUUUCCCCAGCUUAUCGACAAUGCUGUUAUUAUAUAGCCAGAACUUGCUGAUGUUCCACUUAUUUCAGGUUAAUAAACAAACCAAGUCUAUUUGCAUAAUUUACUGAUAUAUGAUCUUUAUGUUAAUUGCAGAUCUGCGCAAGGAUAAGAAUUGUAUGUUGGUUAAUACUGUGCGAAUUCUUGUUUGGUGUCUGUAGUCUGGUUAGACAUAUCCAGCCUUUGUGAGUAGAUAAUAACUGGAAAAAAGUAUACAUUAGAUUGUCAGGUCUACCAACAAAUGAUGACAAACCUAAUGCCCCCAUCAUAUUAUACUGUGAUGAUUCCUUAACAGGAUAUAACUUCUGACAUCUGAUGUUGUUGGGCCAUUGCUUGUAACAUACAAGUUCUACUUCUGAAUUACAAAGAUUGUCUGCUAAAAUGAUUGCUUUGUUUCAAGGUGCUGUUAUUGCCAUGGUCCCCACAAGAGGUGUUCGAACUUCUACCAUUCUGGAUAAAUCUACUAUAGUACUAUACACAAAACGGAGUUGCACAACUUGCAAUUUAAUCUUAUCAUAUUCAUGUUGGUCUUCACAUGGGACUCGUUGACCAUACCCUUAAUCAUUGUUACAUAUUUAAUAGGACUUCUGUAAAGCUAACAAAUAAAAAUAAUAAAAUCCUGUUUUGAAAUGUGUGUUCUGUGAUAAAACUUUACUGAUCAAACUGUCAGCAUAGAUAUAUUUGUAAUAAUAAA